This 439-nucleotide ribosomal RNA is filed under the name uncultured bacterium. Its description in RNAcentral is "partial 16S ribosomal RNA". It matches the Rfam family "Bacterial small subunit ribosomal RNA", at positions 338 to 794 of the family's 1533-position model. The record is from RNAcentral.
CCUACGGGGGGCAGCAGUGGGGAAUAUUGCACAAUGGGGGAAACCCUGAUGCAGCGACGCCGCGUGAGCGAUGAAGUAUUUCGGUAUGUAAAGCUCUAUCAGCAGGGAAGAAGAUGACGGUACCUGACUAAGAAGCCCCGGCUAACUACGUGCCAGCAGCCGCGGUAAUACGUAGGGGGCAAGCGUUAUCCGGAUUUACUGGGUGUAAAGGGAGCGUAGACGGCGGUGCAAGCCAGAUGUGAAAGCCCGGGGCUAAACCCCGGGACUGCAUUUGGAACUGUAUGGCUGGAGUGUCGGAGAGGCAGGCGGAAUUCCUGGUGUAGCGGUGAAAUGGGUAGAGAUUAGGGGGAAAACCAGUGGCGAAGGCGGCCUGCGGGAAGAUGACUGACGUGGAGGCUCGAAAGCGUGGGGAGCAAACAGGAUUAGAUACCCGGGUAGU